AGUAAAUAGAUACCCCGGUAGUCCACGCCGUAAACGAUGAGUACUAGGUGUAGGAGGUAUCGACUCCUUCUGUGCCGCAGUUAAACACAAUAAGUACUCCGCCUGGGAAGUACGGUCGCAAGAUUAAAAACUCAAAGGAAUUGACGGGGGCCCGCACAAGCAGCGGAGCAUGUGGUUUAAAAUUCGAAGCAACGCGAAGAACCUUACCUAGACUUGACAUCUCCUGAAUAGUGUAGAGAUACAUGAAGCCCUUCGGGGCAGGAAGACAGGUGGUGCAUGGUUGUCGUCAGCUCGUGUCGUGAGA
This 304-nucleotide ribosomal RNA is filed under the name uncultured bacterium. RNAcentral describes it as "bacterial SSU rRNA". It matches the Rfam family "Bacterial small subunit ribosomal RNA", at positions 774 to 1072 of the family's 1533-position model. The record is from RNAcentral.